ACGAACGCUGGCGGCGUGCUUAACACAUGCAAGUCGCACGGAAAGGCCCUGCUUUUGUGGGGUGCUCGAGUGGCGAACGGGUGAGUAACACGUGAGUAACCUGCCCUUGACUUUGGGAUAACUUCAGGAAACUGGGGCUAACACCGGAUAGGAGCUCCUGCUGCAUGGUGGGGGUUGGAAAGUUUCGGCGGUUGGGGAUGGACUCGCGGCUUAUCAGCUUGUUGGUGGGGUAGUGGCUUACCAAGGCUUUGACGGGUAGCCGGCCUGAGAGGGUGACCGGCCACAUUGGGACUGAGAUACGGCCCAGACUCCUACGGGAGGCAGCAGUGGGGAAUAUUGCACAAUGGGCGGAAGCCUGAUGCAGCAACGCCGCGUGCGGGAUGACGGCCUUCGGGUUGUAAACCGCUUUCGCCUGUGACGAAGCGUGAGUGACGGUAAUGGGUAAAGAAGCACCGGCUAACUACGUG
Molecule: ribosomal RNA, 467 nt
Filed under: uncultured bacterium
Lineage: Bacteria
Description: partial 16S ribosomal RNA
Rfam family: Bacterial small subunit ribosomal RNA
Source: RNAcentral